UACGGAGGGCGCAAGCGUUGUUCGGAAUUACUGGGCGUAAAGCGCGUGUAGGUGGCCUGAAAAGUCGGGUGUGAAAUCCCGGAGCUCGACUCCGGAACUGCAUCCGAUACUGCCAGGCUCGAGUCUCGGAGGGGAUGGCGGAAUUUCCGGUGUAGAGGUGAAAUUCGUAGAUAUCGGAAGGAACACCAGUGGCGAAGGCGGCCGUCUGGACGAUGACUGACACUGAGACGCGAAAGCGUGGGGAGCAAACAGG
This 253-nucleotide ribosomal RNA is filed under the name uncultured bacterium. RNAcentral describes it as "partial 16S ribosomal RNA". It matches the Rfam family "Bacterial small subunit ribosomal RNA", at positions 524 to 776 of the family's 1533-position model. The record is from RNAcentral.